UACGUAGGGUGCAAGCGUUAAUCGGAAUUACUGGGCGUAAAGCGUGCGCAGGCGGUCUUGUAAGCCAGAUGUGAAAGCCCCGGGCUCAACCUGGGAACUGCAUUUGGGACUGCAAGGCUGGAGUACGGCAGAGGGAGGUGGAAUUCCACGUGUAGCAGUGAAAUGCGUAGAGAUGUGGAGGAACACCGAUGGCGAAGGCAGCCUCCUGGGCUAGUACUGACGCUCAUGCACGAAAGCGUGGGGAGCAAACAGG
This 253-nucleotide ribosomal RNA is filed under the name uncultured bacterium. Its description in RNAcentral is "partial 16S ribosomal RNA". It matches the Rfam family "Bacterial small subunit ribosomal RNA", at positions 524 to 776 of the family's 1533-position model. The record is from RNAcentral.